Molecule: long non-coding RNA, 1921 nt
Filed under: Varroa destructor (honeybee mite)
Lineage: Eukaryota; Metazoa; Arthropoda; Arachnida; Mesostigmata; Varroidae
Description: uncharacterized LOC111251522
Source: RNAcentral
UGUGCUGGGUACAGCGCCUAAAUUAGAACAAACUUUAGUGGACUGUUUUCAUAGUGGGAAUGCAUCCGUUACUCCUAGUACCAGACGAUUUUUUCUUGGUUAAACGGCUCAUGUAGCCUAAACAAUGAUGCGUUGUUUUUGGAAUUUGAGUAAGGAUCAGCUGUUAUCCAAUCUCUAUGCGUUCGACGAAUCCUCAUAGAAAUGAUGAGCUUCUGGGGUCACUCGAAGUCAACAAUUCACCGCGUCGCAAGUGAAUGAGCGGCUGCAGAGAAAGCAGAGGUAAACCUCAGCACAAGGCAAAAUCUAAGACAGCGAAAGAACAACGCCGACUUUAAAGUUAAUCGCUGCCGUCCAAAAGAACAUUUCAAAUUACUCAGUUGCUUUGAUCAAAACGUUAGUGACGUGAACGAUGUCACCGAUUGUCUGCAAAAAUUUCAGGUACACGCGUCAUGUCGUAGAGAUCAGAAGAGGCGCACUCUUAGAACAAUUAAACCGAGAGAUUAGACCGGUCUUGUCUCAACAAUGAAACAGCAGGUCGCCUACGAGAGAUUUUUUCUACUGGUGCAAAAAUGAACCGCAAAAACCAUCAUUAGCCCGCUUGGGAUAUGCUUGUUGUUUUGUUCUGAAUGUAAUAUCUAGCGAUGGAGGCGUCAUGCUACCAUAUUUCUUCCGGAGAAACGAUCGCAUCACUAAAGAAACGUAUCUGUGUAUUUUACGAACUACUGUGCAGCAGUGGAUAUCUGAGACAUCUAAAGGAAAAGCAUAUGUCUCUCAACAAGAGGGUGCACUGGUCCUUACAGGCGGAUUAUCUGCGUAACAAUACGAGCAUAUUGUGAAACGAGUGUAUUUAGGCCACUGAAUAGAUCAGAUUUCGGAUUGUUAUAUAUGGAGCGCUAUUGAACGGUUUAGGAUUCUAAUUGAAGCUCUAACCGCAAUAAAUGGCGGUUAUGUUGAAUAACAUGACCGUCAGCAAUGGCACCUUGUGCACAUAUAAAAAUUCUUCGAAAUACUUGUUUUUCUUUAGGUGUCGUCCUAAAAAUAAAGCAUGAAGAAAACCCCAAUUCACGCGCCGUACAUUGUAGAAGUUGUUAAGAGAUAAAGAGCUGGACAAAGUGUCUAUGUGGCUUCGAUGCUUCAGAAAAUUCUAAGAAAUCCGGAAUGCAGUCAACUGCCCUCACAUUGACAAGAUAGGUUUAUCUAUGGCGCCUUUAUUAGUAGAAGCGUCCAUCUAUUGGCCAAGCGGUACAGGCAAGCCUUGAAAAGCAAAAUGUUUUUUGGCAAGGAAGAUUAAUAACUAACAAUAAUCAACGGCGAGUUCCUUUCAUUCAUCAAUUAUGGGGAAAACCGUGAAAUACACGCAUUGCGCCUCGUAACCCGGCAACAAGCAUCUGCCGUUCUCUGACCUUCAUUUCUCGUUACGUCGAAGAUAUUUGGCGCGAAUAUCCAGAUUUAAAUAUAUUAUUUAUGCAAAGGCGACAGGAUUCACGCAGUGUGAUUAUGGAUUAUUUGCAGCAAGGUAAUUUCUAUGGGAACUUAGAAUAGCUUCUCCUGAGUAAUGCGAUCAUUACGAUGAAGUAACGACUACGACGAUGAAGUAAUAACUGCGCCAAAUUGACGGCUCAGUGAUACAAAAUGAGAAAUUAUAGUAUCGAAUAAAGUGACAGAAAAGCCGAACAGGUAACCGCAGCAGGAAAGCUUUUUGAACCACAAACUACGUUAGAGUGGGCGUGACAUUAACGAAGCAGACCCAUUAAAUGAAUCAAUGACAAAACGGGCACGAGGCGAAACCCGUAGUUCUUCCUAGUUUACAUAUUGCGUACAUUGAAUUUCUGUUUGCCUAACUAAAAACGGCUCACGUAAUUUUGCAUUACUUUUAAGCUUUCCUAAAGUGGGCGCACCUGUGUCAUUAAAGAGGCUGACU